UCCGGCUUAUCACCGGCAGUCCCUCUAGAGUGCCCAACUGAAUGAUGGCAACUAAAGGCGGGGGUUGCGCUCGUUGCGGGACUUAACCCAACAUCUCACGACACGAGCUGACGACAGCCAUGCACCACCUGCGCACUAGCCCCGAAGGGCUGCCGUAUUUCUACGGCAUUCCAGUGCAUGUCAAGCCCUGGUAAGGUUCUUCGCGUUGCGUCGAAUUAAACCACAUGCUCCACCGCUUGUGCAGGCCCCCGUCAAUUUCUUUGAGUUUUAACCUUGCGGCCGUACUCCCCAGGCGGGGCACUUAAUGCGUUAGCUGCGGCACCCAGGGGGUCAAUACCCCGGACACCUAGUGCCCAUCGUUUACAGCGUGGACUAC
This 376-nucleotide unclassified non-coding RNA is filed under the name uncultured bacterium. Its description in RNAcentral is "contains 16S-23S intergenic spacer region". The record is from RNAcentral.